This 495-nucleotide ribosomal RNA is filed under the name uncultured bacterium. RNAcentral's name for it is "partial 16S ribosomal RNA". It matches the Rfam family "Bacterial small subunit ribosomal RNA", at positions 28 to 507 of the family's 1533-position model. The record is from RNAcentral.
GACGAACGCUGGCGGCGUGCCUAAUACAUGCAAGUCGAACGCUGAAGGAGGAGCUUGCUCUUCUGGAUGAGUUGCGAACGGGUGAGUAACGCGUAGGUAACCUGCCUGGUAGCGGGGGACAACUAUUGGAAACGAUAGCUAAUACCGCAUAACAGUAGAUGUUGUAUGACAUUUGCUUAAAAGGUGCAAUUGCACCACUACCAGACGGACUUGCGCUGUAUUAGCUAGUUGGUGGGGUAACGGCUCACCAAGGCGACGCUACAUAGCCUACCUGAGAGGGUGAUCGGCCACACUGGGACUGAGGCACGGCCCAAACUCCUACGGGAGGCAGCAGUAGGGAAUCUUCGGCGAUGGACGGAAGUCUGACCGAGCAACGCCGCGUGAGUGAAGAAGGUUUUCGGAUCGUGAAGCUCUGUUGUAAGGGAAGAACGAGUGUGAAAGUAGAAAGUUCACGCUGUGACGGUAGCUUACCAGAAAGGGACGGCUAACUACGUG